This is a non-coding RNA of Chelonoidis abingdonii (Abingdon island giant tortoise), 148 nucleotides long. NCBI's taxonomy places the organism in Eukaryota, Metazoa, Chordata, Testudines, Testudinidae. The record is from RefSeq and is a predicted model, not a curated record.
GAGGAACUCCAGAAGCAAAUGGAUGAAACGAAGAAGGAAUUAGAAUGGAGAAGGGUUCAGAACAAUUCAGAUGACAUCACUCUUCAUGGAAUCACGGCCCAUCCUAACCUCCACAUUUCUGGGGAUAAGAAGAGUUUUAAACAUGAAG